GAUGAACGCUGGCGGCGUGCCUAAUACAUGCAAGUCGAGCGGACGGACGCGAAGCUUGCGUCUCUGAUGUUAGCGGCGGGCGGGUGAGUAACACGUGGAUAACCUACCUGUAAGACUGGGAUAACUUCGGGAAACCGUAGCUAAUCCCGGAGAAUAUUCUGCACCGCAUGGUGCAAAAGUGAAAGACGGUCUUGGUGGCACUUCUAGAGGGAUCCCGGCUGCAUUAGGUGGUUGGGCAGGUAACGGGUUACCAAGGCGACUAGGCCUAGCCGACGUGAGAGGGUGGUCGCCCACACUGGAACUGAGACACGCUCCAGACUCCUACGGGAGGCCGCAGUCGGGAAUCUUCCGCAAUGGUCGAAAGCCUUACGCAGCAACGCCGCGUGAGUGAUGACGGUCUUCGGAUCGUAAUGCUCUGUUAUUAGUUAAGAACAUAUGUGUACGUAACCGUGGCCUGCUUGACGGUACUUAGUCAGAAAGCCACGGCUAACUACGUC
Molecule: ribosomal RNA, 497 nt
Filed under: uncultured bacterium
Lineage: Bacteria
Description: partial 16S ribosomal RNA
Rfam family: Bacterial small subunit ribosomal RNA
Source: RNAcentral